UACGUAGGAGGCAAGCGUUGUUCGGAAUUACUGGGCGUAAAGGGCGCGUAGGCGGCUUUGCAAGUCAGAUGUGAAAGCCCCGGGCUUAACUCGGGAAUUGCAUCUGAAACUGCUUUGAUUGAGUUCUGGAGGGGGUAGUGGAAUUCCCAGUGUAGCGGUGAAAUGCGUAGAUAUUGGGAGGAACACCUGCGGCGAAGGCGGCUACCUGGACAGUGACUGACGCUGAUGCGCGAAAGCUAGGGGAGCAAACGGG
RNAcentral lists this ribosomal RNA (253 nucleotides) under uncultured bacterium. Its description in RNAcentral is "partial 16S ribosomal RNA". It matches the Rfam family "Bacterial small subunit ribosomal RNA", at positions 524 to 776 of the family's 1533-position model. The record is from RNAcentral.